AUGACUGCUUUGACAAGAUCUAUCUUUAGUUAUAAUAGUGAGUCACAUCAUUGUGAUCCGACUUUACGGUUAGUUUGAGGUAUGAGCCAGGCCAUGGGAUUGAGAGCGAGAGCAUCACGGGAUGCAGCUGUAAAAUUCCACUACUCUCUAAAUCAGUGGAAAAUUAUUGCAGCGCGCGGCGCAUCGUGAUGCAGCUCAUCAGCGCGGCGGAGGAGACGUCUCGGCAGGCGGAUCCUGAGCAGAGCAGGCACCUCUUCCCGCACCGCCCGGGCUGUGCAAAGCGUCACGUCGAGCCCACCCCGCCAGCCACCACGAGCGAAUGUAGGAUUUUCGUGGCUGGUGCCGUGUCUCCUAGCAACAUUGCUAGGCAGCACGCUAUAUAUCACACCCGGCGCCGGCUACUACGGUAUAGUGGGGCCGUUCCCAGCUCUUUUUCUUGGCUAUAAAAUAUUAAUUUUCUGCUCGCAAAGGGGAGGCAGCACCUGCGGGUCAAGAGGCGCUCCCUCCCGGGUGGACGCGUGCAGCUCCUGUUGGCUGUCACAGGAAUCACGAGCAACCCCAGGCUGGGCUGAGCUCCUGGUAUGUAAAAUGUGGGUGUGAUUCCUGAGAUAUAAACACUUUCCGUGCCUGAGGUGGGGUACAGGCUGGCUUUGGAAUGAAUAAAUACAUAAAUAACCAGGCAGUGAAGAUUAUCUCCCCCCUCCCCUCUUUCCUUCUUUGACUCAUAUAAGCAGAUCCUGAUGCGAGGACCACGUUUGUGUACACAAAGAGAGGGAAAUUUCACCGACAUUUGGAGAUUUUUUUUUUGAGGCUCCUCCACACCAGGGCACUGUGGAUGAGAGCCCGUAUCACAAAUGCUGGUGAUGAUUUUCUAGAUUGAUGGGUGUGAUUUCAGCAGAGACUGCCUGCCAAGCCCCCUCCCCGAAAUGAUUGCAUAACCCAGCUGUUGCAUGCGCAAAAAAAAAAAAAA
Oxyura jamaicensis (ruddy duck) is the source of this 970-nucleotide long non-coding RNA. RefSeq lists it as uncharacterized. The transcript is spliced from 2 exons. The record is from RefSeq and is a predicted model, not a curated record. Lineage: Eukaryota; Metazoa; Chordata; Aves; Anseriformes; Anatidae.